This 500-nucleotide ribosomal RNA is filed under the name uncultured bacterium. Its description in RNAcentral is "partial 16S ribosomal RNA". It matches the Rfam family "Bacterial small subunit ribosomal RNA", at positions 30 to 523 of the family's 1533-position model. The record is from RNAcentral.
AUUGAACGCUGGCGGAAUGCUUUACACAUGCAAGUCGAACGGCAGCACGGACUUCGGUCUGGUGGCGAGUGGCGAACGGGUGAGUAAUGUAUCGGAACGUGCCCAGUCGUGGGGGAUAACGUAGUGAAAAUUACGCUAAUACCGCAUACGAUCUAUGGAUGAAAGCGGGGGAUCGCAAGACCUCGCGCGAUUGGAGCGGCCGAUGUCAGAUUAGGUAGUUGGUGGGGUAAAGGCCCACCAAGCCAACGAUCUGUAGCUGGUCUGAGAGGACGACCAGCCACACUGGAACUGAAACACGGUCCAGACUCCUACGGGAGGCAGCAGUGGGGAAUUUUGGACAAUGGGCGAAAGCCUGAUCCAGCCAUUCCGCGUGCAGGAUGAAGGCCCUCGGGUUGUAAACUGCUUCUGUACAGAACGAAAAGGUUUCUACUAAUACUAGGAGCUCAUGACGGUACUGUAAGAAUAAGCACCGGCUAACUACGUGCCAGCAGCCGCGGUAA